Molecule: ribosomal RNA, 460 nt
Filed under: uncultured bacterium
Lineage: Bacteria
Description: bacterial SSU rRNA
Rfam family: Bacterial small subunit ribosomal RNA
Source: RNAcentral
AACGAACGCUGGCGGCAUGCCUAACACAUGCAAGUCGAACGGGAUCCGGACUUCGGUCCGGUGAGAGUGGCGGACGGGUGAGUAACACGUGGGAACCUGCCUCUUGGUUCGGGAUAACCGCGGGAAACUGCGGCUAAUACCGGAUGCUCCCGAGAGGGAAAAGAUUUAUCGCCAGAAGAGGGGCCCGCGUCCGAUUAGGUAGUUGGUGGGGUAAUGGCCUACCAAGCCGACGAUCGGUAGCUGGUCUGAGAGGAUGAUCAGCCACACUGGGACUGAGAUACGGCCCAGACUCCUACGGGAGGCAGCAGUGGGGAAUAUUGGACAAUGGGGGGCAACCCUGAUCCAGCAAUGCCGCGUGAGUGAUGAAGGCCUUAGGGUUGUAAAGCUCUUUUGCCAGGGAGAUGAUGACUGUACCUGGAGAAUAAGCCCCGGCUAACUUCGUGCCAGCAGCCGCGGUAAU